AUUGAACGCUGGCGGAAUGCUUUACACAUGCAAGUCGAACGAUGAACCUUAGCUUGCUAAGGGGAUUAGUGGCGAACGGGUGAGUAAUGUAUCGGAACGUAUCCAAUAAUGGGGGAUAACUAGUCGAAAGAUUAGCUAAUACCGCAUACGUCCUACGGGAGAAAGCUAGGGACCUUCGGGCCUGGCGUUAAUGGAGCGGCCGAUAUCUGAUUAGCUAGUUGGUGGGGUAAAGGCUCACCAAGGCGACGAUCAGUAGCUGGUCUGAGAGGACGACCGGCCAAACUGGAACUGAGACACGGUCCAGACUCCUACGGGAGGAAGCAGUGGGGAAUUUUGGACAAUGGGCGAAAGCCUGAUCCAGCCAUUCCGCGUGAGUGAGGAAGGCCUUCGGGUUGUAAAGCUCUUUCGCAAGGGAAGAAAACUUAAGCUCUAACAUAGCUUGAGGUUGACGGUACCUUGAUAAGAAGCACCGGCUAACUACGUGCCAGCCGCCGCCGUAA
RNAcentral lists this ribosomal RNA (500 nucleotides) under uncultured bacterium. RNAcentral's name for it is "partial 16S ribosomal RNA". It matches the Rfam family "Bacterial small subunit ribosomal RNA", at positions 30 to 523 of the family's 1533-position model. The record is from RNAcentral.